GGAUCAUUACAGAGAAUAUCAUCUCUCUACAACCCAUGUGAACUUACCACUGUUGCCUCGGCGGAACCUGCCGGGCGCGGCCCGAACCGAAUGGGACGGGCCUCCCGGCACCCCGCCAGUGGGCCACUACAACAAACUAUUUUUGACAAAGGAGAGACAUCUGAGUGAGAACAUGAAAUAUAGUCAAAACUUUCAACAAUGGAUCUCUUGGUUCUGGCAUCGAUGAAGAACGCAGCGAAAUGCGAUAAGUAAUGUGAAUUGCAGAAUUCAGUGAAUCAUCGAAUCUUUGAACGCACAUUGCGCCCAUUAGUAUUCUAGUGGGCAUGCCUGUUCGAGCGUCAUUUCAACCCUCAAGCCCAGCUUGGUGUUGGGAGACUACGGCCUUUCUCGUAGCUCCUGAAAAUCAAUGGCGGAGCGGUGGUAAACCUCUGAGCGUAGUAACUAUCUCUCGCUUUCUGUGGAUGCCCCGUCCCCUGCCGUUAAACCCCCAAAUUUUCUAAUGGUUGACCUCGGAUCAGGUAGGAAUACCCGCUGAACUUAAGCAUAUCAAUAAGCGGAGGAAAAGAAACCAACAGGGAUUGCCCUAGUAACGGCGAGUGAAGCGGCAACAGCUCAAAUUUGAAAUCUGGCCCUCGGGUCCGAGUUGUAAUUUGCAGAGGAUGCUUUUGGUGUGGCACCUUCCGAGUUCCUUGGAACAGGACGCCUUAGAGGGUGAGAGCCCCGUACGGUUGGAUGCCUAGCCUUUGUAUAGCUCCUUCGACGAGUCGAGUAGUUUGGGAAUGCUGCUCUAAAUGGGAGGUAAAUUUCUUCUAAAGCUAAAUACCGGCCAGAGACCGAUAGCGCACAAGUAGAGUGAUCGAAAGAUGAAAAGCACUUUGAAAAGAGGGUUAAAUAGCACGUGAAAUUGUUGAAAGGGAAGGACUUAUGACCAGACGUUUUCCUAGGGGAUCAUCAGGUGUUCUCACCUGUGCACUUCCCUAGGUUGAGGUCAGCAUCGGUUUUCGUGGGGGGAUAAAGACGGUGGGAACGUGGCUCCCCCGGGAGUGUUAUAGCCCGCCGUGUAAUACCCUCGCGGAGACCGAGGCCCGCGCU
RNAcentral lists this ribosomal RNA (1092 nucleotides) under Sordariomycetes sp. genotype 250. Its description in RNAcentral is "eukaryotic LSU rRNA". The stretch from base 505 to 1092 matches the Rfam family "Eukaryotic large subunit ribosomal RNA", at positions 1 to 601 of the family's 3401-position model. The record is from RNAcentral. Lineage: Eukaryota; Fungi; Ascomycota; Sordariomycetes.